RNAcentral lists this ribosomal RNA (486 nucleotides) under eukaryote marine clone ANT37-20. RNAcentral's name for it is "bacterial SSU rRNA". It matches the Rfam family "Eukaryotic small subunit ribosomal RNA", at positions 448 to 933 of the family's 1831-position model. The record is from RNAcentral.
AUCCUGACACAGGGAGGUAGUGACCAUAAAUAACAAUACGGGGCGCUUUCGCGUCCUGUAAUUGGAAUGAGUACAAUUUAAAUCCCUUAACGAGGAUCAAUUGGAGGGCAAGUCUGGUGCCAGCAGCCGCGGUAAUUCCAGCUCCAAUAGCGUAUAUUAAAGUUGUUGCAGUUAAAAAGCUCGUAAUUGGAUUUCUGGUCGGAGCGACCGGUCGGCGUCCUUUGUGGCGUGUGCACUGUUGUCGGCUCCGUCCAUCCUAGUUGGAAGGCCCGUGGGCAUUCAUUUGUUCGCGCGUGGCCCCGCUACCUUUACUGUGAAAAAAUUAGAGUGUUUAAAGCAGGCUUCGCUCUUAAUACAUUAGCAUGGAAUAAUGAGAUAGGACUUUGGUACUAUUUUGUUGGUUUGCGCACCAAGGUAAUGAUUAAUAGGGAUAGUUGGGGGUAUUCAUUUUCAAUUGUCAGAGGUGAAAUUCUUGGAUUUAUGGAA